UACGUAGGGUGCGAGCGUUAAUCGGAAUUACUGGGCGUAAAACGUGCGCAGGCGGUUUGUCGCGUCUGCUGUGAAAACUGGAGGCUCAACCUCCAGCCUGCAGUGGGUACGGGCAGACUAGAGUGCGGUAGGGGAGAUUGGAAUUCCUGGUGUAGCGGUGAAAUGCGCAGAUAUCAGGAGGAACACCAAUUGCGAAGGCAGCUCGCUGGAACGUAACUGACGCUGAGACGCGAAAGCGUGGGGAGCAAACAGG
This 253-nucleotide ribosomal RNA is filed under the name uncultured bacterium. RNAcentral's name for it is "partial 16S ribosomal RNA". It matches the Rfam family "Bacterial small subunit ribosomal RNA", at positions 524 to 776 of the family's 1533-position model. The record is from RNAcentral.